RNAcentral lists this ribosomal RNA (468 nucleotides) under uncultured bacterium. Its description in RNAcentral is "partial 16S ribosomal RNA". It matches the Rfam family "Bacterial small subunit ribosomal RNA", at positions 28 to 507 of the family's 1533-position model. The record is from RNAcentral.
GACGAACGCUGGCGGCGUGCUUAACACAUGCGAGUCGAACGGAGAAGCUCCAGCUUGCUGGAGUGGAUCAGUGGCGAACGGGUGAGUAACACGUGAGCAACCUGCCCCUGACUCUGGAAUAAGAGCUGGAAACGGCGUCUAAUACUGGAUACGAGAAGGGUCCGCAUGGGCACUUUCUGGAAAGUUUUUCUGUUGGGGAUGGGCUCGCGGCCUAUCAGCUUGUUGGUGAGGUAAUGGCUCACCAAGGCGACGACGGGUAGCCGGCCUGAGAGGGCGACCGGCCACACUGGGACUGAGACACGGCCCAGACUCCUACGGGAGGCAGCAGUGGGGAAUAUUGCACAAUGGGCGAAAGCCUGAUGCAGCGACGCCGCGUGAGGGAUGACGGCCUUCGGGUUGUAAACCUCUUUCAGCAGGGAAGAAGCGAAAGUGACGGUACCUGCAGAAGAAGCACCGGCUAACUACGUG